CAUCUCUCUUGUCUUCUAUCCAUCCACAACAUCAUAUUUUCCUGACUCAGUUAUUUCCCACCGAGUUCCUCCCACAACACUCGGGAAUUACGGGAUCUACAAUUCAAGAUGAGAUUUAGCGGGGGACAAAGCCAAACCAUAUCACCUUGCUUCCUUCUCCAACUCUAAAGAAAUUGCAGUGAACUUCAUGGUUAGACUCAGGAACAUAUGCCUGCACCCACAAUUCAGCCUCAGACAUUUACUAGCUCUCUGUUUUGAAUUAUGUCAUAGCAGGAUCCGUGAGGAAGCAUAGCUACACAUGACACAAGCCCUGUAGUAAGAUCUUUCAAUUUAUUUAGGAGAUGGGUCAAGAUAUUUCUUCACAAGAUCAUUUAAAUGACCUUGUAAAGGUCACACACAUAUACAUACACGUGUGUGUGUUUGAUUUAUACCUCUAUAGCCUAAGUUGAAGACACUUGUGUAAUCCAUUCAACAUAUACUACCACCUGUGGAAACUAAUUGCCAGGUUCGCUGGGAGCUUUUUCAGCUAGGUAAGUAUUGAACAUACUGUCCUG
Molecule: long non-coding RNA, 554 nt
Filed under: Homo sapiens (human)
Lineage: Eukaryota; Metazoa; Chordata; Mammalia; Primates; Hominidae
Description: HSALNT0306113
Source: RNAcentral